AUUGAACGCUGGCGGCAGGCUUAACACAUGCAAGUCGAACGGCAGCACAGGCUUCGGCCGGGUGGCGAGUGGCGGACGGGUGAGUAACACGUAGGAAUCUGCCUGGUAAUGGGGGAUAACCCGGGGAAACUCGGGCUAAUACCGCAUACGCUCCACGGAGGAAAGCGGGGGAUCUUCGGACCUCGCGUUAUCAGAUGAGCCUGCGUCCGAUUAGCUAGUUGGCGGGGUAAAGGCCCACCAAGGCGACGAUCGGUAGCUGGUCUGAGAGGACGAUCAGCCACACUGGAACUGAGACACGGUCCAGACUCCUACGGGAGGCAGCAGUGGGGAAUAUUGGACAAUGGGCGCAAGCCUGAUCCAGCCAUGCCGCGUGUGUGAAGAAGGCCUGCGGGUUGUAAAGCACUUUAAGCAGGAAAGAAGGCUUCGGGGCUAAUACCCCCGGAGAUUGACGUUACCUGCAGAAUAAGCACCGGCUAACUCCGUGCCAGCCGCCGCGGUAA
This 500-nucleotide ribosomal RNA is filed under the name uncultured bacterium. RNAcentral's name for it is "partial 16S ribosomal RNA". It matches the Rfam family "Bacterial small subunit ribosomal RNA", at positions 29 to 523 of the family's 1533-position model. The record is from RNAcentral.